UGCAAACUGCCAUGGGUGCGUACGCAGAAACCACAGCGGUCAGAAGACAGUAGACGAACUGUCGGUAAAAGCGCAGUUGAAGUUCUGGCAAAUCACCAUUCACCCAGUGAAAUUUAACUUCAGGUUGAAAGCAAACUGAACACAUUAGAAGAAAAUGGAAAACUACUGUGGCCUUCAACCCCGCCCACAAUAAACGCUGCCACAUUUCCGAUCAGAGAUGUUAUGCGAGGGUUAAGUGAAACUUUGAAAAGUGCAUUUCUACUACUGUCCAUCCAUUUUGAUGAAACAUGGUAUCAGGAUUACAAAGGAAUAUCUUCUGUGUUUCUCAAAAUCUGAAAGUGAAUCCUGUGCAUUGGAAUCAUCUGAGAAUAUUCUGUAAGAAAUAAGACUUUAAUGACUUUGAAAUCAAGAACUACAAAUUAGUAUUCUUUAUAAGGUACUGGGGCUUUUUCUUAAGCAUACUAAUAUCUGAGAAUCAUUGUUUUCCUUGAAUUUUCCAUAUGAGAUUAAGCUAA
This 515-nucleotide long non-coding RNA is filed under the name Chinchilla lanigera (long-tailed chinchilla). RNAcentral describes it as "lncRNA (ENSCLAG00000026327.1)". Lineage: Eukaryota; Metazoa; Chordata; Mammalia; Rodentia; Chinchillidae. The record is from RNAcentral.